RNAcentral lists this ribosomal RNA (686 nucleotides) under Isoptericola sp. DS_4S. Its description in RNAcentral is "bacterial SSU rRNA". It matches the Rfam family "Bacterial small subunit ribosomal RNA", at positions 754 to 1439 of the family's 1533-position model. Lineage: Bacteria; Bacillati; Actinomycetota; Actinomycetes; Micrococcales; Promicromonosporaceae. The record is from RNAcentral.
CGAAAGCAUGGGGAGCGAACAGGAUUAGAUACCCUGGUAGUCCAUGCCGUAAACGUUGGGCACUAGGUGUGGGACUCAUUCCACGAGUUCCGUGCCGCAGCUAACGCAUUAAGUGCCCCGCCUGGGGAGUACGGCCGCAAGGCUAAAACUCAAAGGAAUUGACGGGGGCCCGCACAAGCGGCGGAGCAUGCGGAUUAAUUCGAUGCAACGCGAAGAACCUUACCAAGGCUUGACAUGCACCGGACGCUGCCAGAGAUGGUGGUUCCGCAAGGUCGGUGCACAGGUGGUGCAUGGUUGUCGUCAGCUCGUGUCGUGAGAUGUUGGGUUAAGUCCCGCAACGAGCGCAACCCUUGUCCUAUGUUGCCAGCGGGUUAUGCCGGGGACUCAUGGGAGACUGCCGGGGUCAACUCGGAGGAAGGCGGGGAUGACGUCAAAUCAUCAUGCCCCUUAUGUCUUGGGCUUCACGCAUGCUACAAUGGCCGGUACAGAGGGCUGCGAUACCGUAAGGUGGAGCGAAUCCCAAAAAGCCGGUCUCAGUUCGGAUUGGGGUCUGCAACUCGACCCCAUGAAGUCGGAGUCGCUAGUAAUCGCAGAUCAGCAACGCUGCGGUGAAUACGUUCCCGGGCCUUGUACACACCGCCCGUCAAGUCACGAAAGUUGGUAACACCCGAAGCUCACGGCCCAAC